This 80-nucleotide transfer RNA is filed under the name Rhodococcus sp. ACS1. RNAcentral's name for it is "tRNA-Met". It matches the Rfam family "tRNA". Rfam says of the family: Transfer RNA (tRNA) molecules are approximately 80 nucleotides in length. The record is from RNAcentral. Lineage: Bacteria; Bacillati; Actinomycetota; Actinomycetes; Mycobacteriales; Nocardiaceae.
GGCGGAGUAGGGCAGCUCGGUCCAGCCCGCGAGGCUCAUAACCUCGAGAUCGUCAGUUCGAAUCUGACCUCUAGCCACGA